RNAcentral lists this long non-coding RNA (1285 nucleotides) under Gossypium barbadense (sea-island cotton). Its description in RNAcentral is "long non-coding RNA (GBAR_LNC001738)". Lineage: Eukaryota; Viridiplantae; Streptophyta; Magnoliopsida; Malvales; Malvaceae. The record is from RNAcentral.
AUACCCAAUGCCCCAUAGCCCAAAUACAACGGCCCAAUAACUGGAACAGACCCCAACGGACCCAAAAAUUGAGCCAAGUUUCGGCAAACCCUAAGUCACCCCUCUCUCCUGCGCCGCAACAGCAACUGGGCAAUAGACCCAUACCUCCACUACAGCAGUCCCAUACCUCCACAGCCCUCGUACGCCACGCCCCCACCCCGUGCGCAUGCCUACAGACUCUGUACCUGCAAGAAAGAAACAAAAACAGCAGCGAAUGGAAACAAAUAUAUUGUAUAUUUUCGGUUGAUUUCCUUUUUCGACUAUAAAAGCCCAGCUUUUAAUCUUUGUAAAAGGGGGGGCAUAUUUUUUACGAACGAAUACACAAUAGGCAAUACAAAAAAAGCAAUAUUGGAAGGUGAUUUCUCCGAUCUAAAUCUCUUGGGCUUUCUCUUUGUGAUUAUUUUCUUGCUUUUUUUUAUUUCGAGAGUAAAUAAAAGAAAAGGGGAACACGAACACAGACGCACACAGAAUAUACACGCACAGAAAUAUAAAAAAAAAGCAAUUAAGAAUUUGCAAGGGUAAUCUCAAGUUUUCUUUCGUUCUUUCUUUUUUUUUUCUUUUUUUGUUUGGUUUAGAUCGUCUUUUAGUAGGUAAAUCGACUCCAAUGAGAUCCCGAAUACUUUAAGAUACAAAAGUAGGGGAGAGGGGUCAAGUGGUGUUGAAUCUCUAUUUUAUGAACUUUCUUCGUUUUUUUAAAAAUGUAUGAGAUUUGAAGUUUUAUUUUUUCUCAAGUAAAAAAGAAAAUACUUACUAAUUUCCUCAAGGCAUGGUCGAAUACUUACAGCAACAGAAUCAGGAAUUGUUUUGCGCGCCGCUGGACACCAAAUCGAUAGAGAUUCAGCCGCUUGUAAAAGGAACCCUAGCAAAUUUAAUUUCAAGGCUGCUGGUUUUUGUUAAAAUGGAUGGGUAUUUGAAAGGAAAGGAAGGGAAAAAUGGUUUAAAAUGGUCUGAAAUACAAAACAGUGCUGCCCAUGACCAUAAGGGUCCGCGCGUGGGCCCGAAUAGAAAAAUGGAUCUGCGCCAUGUUGUGUGAAUGGGGAAAUUGCGCGCUGAAUCCUUCCCUUGCGCACAACCUUCAAUUUGCGCCCCAAUUUCCCUCCCUUAUGUUUUAAAAUUUAGCUCGCUAAUUCAUGCGUUGCUUCACUUUGAUCCACGAUCCAGUUUAGUAUUAUGGGCGCAGGAUAUUUUCACUUCUAGUCCUCGUACAUUUGCACACGUGGCACAUUGAUCCUAUUUUAUAAUUAUC